AAAAAGAAGGAAAAAAAAA
RNAcentral lists this small RNA (19 nucleotides) under Arabidopsis thaliana (thale cress). Its description in RNAcentral is "ATSL252780". The record is from RNAcentral. Lineage: Eukaryota; Viridiplantae; Streptophyta; Magnoliopsida; Brassicales; Brassicaceae.